RNAcentral lists this ribosomal RNA (406 nucleotides) under uncultured bacterium. RNAcentral describes it as "partial 16S ribosomal RNA". It matches the Rfam family "Bacterial small subunit ribosomal RNA", at positions 30 to 526 of the family's 1533-position model. The record is from RNAcentral.
AUUGAACGCUGGCGGCAUGCUUUACACAUGCAAGUCGAACGAGUGGCGAACGGGUGAGUAACGUAUCGGAACGUACCGAGUAAAGGGGGAUAACUGUUUGACAGGGCAGCUAAUACCGCAUAUUAUUCGCGCGGCCGAUGUAUGAUUAGCUGGUUGGUGGGGUAAAAGCUCACCAAGGCGACGAUCAGCAGCGGGUCUGAGAGGAUGAUCGGCAACACUGGAACUGGUACCCGGCCCAGACUCCUACGGGAGGCAGCAGUAGGGAAUUGUGGGCAAUGGGCGCAAGUCUGAGCCAGCCAUGCCGCGUGUCUGAAGAAGGCCUUCGGGUUGUAAAGGACUUUUGUCAGGGAAGCGGUACCUGAAGAAUAAGCACCGGCUAACUACGUGCCAGCAGCCGCGGUAAUAC